AUGAAUAAACAAAUAAGAAGCUCUUUAUUUUUAUCUCACCACCUUCUUUUUUUUUUCUUCCAUUCCUCCUCACGUCCUCCGUCGGGCUCUGCGGAAUCACCCACCCAAUCCCCCAUGUGCCAGAGCUGGUUAAAAAGAAAACUGGUCUGCACAUCCACCUGGUGCUCACUCUUGGAAACCAGCCACCAUGCUGUGAAGAAGCCCAAGCGUCCUGUGGAGAGACCCAGGAGGGGAGGAUGAGUGUCUCCAGCCCAUAGCCCUCUGCUAGUCCCAGCUGACAGACAGCCCCACCUUGCCAGUCCUGGGAGUUAUGUGCAACCUUUAAACUAGCAACCCCAGUGGGUGCUGCCUGGACUAGAGAUGAGCCACGCCCACUGAGCCUUUUGUUGUUUAGUUGCUCAGUCGUGUCCUACUGUUUUCGACCCCACCAGGCUUCCCUGUCCUUUACCAUCUCCUGGAGUUUGCUCAAACUCAUGUCCAUUGAAUCAGUGAUGCCAUCCAACCAUCUCAUCCUCUGCCCUCCCCUUCUCCUUCUGCCUUCAGUCUUUCCCAGCAUCAGGAUCUUUUCCAGUGAGUCAGCUCUUUGCAUCAAGUGGCCAAAGUAUUGGAACUUCAGCAUCAUCCUUCCAAUGAAUAUGAUUUCCUUUAAGAUUGACUGGUUUGAUCUCCUUGCAGUCCAAGGGACUCUCAAGAGUCUUCUCUAGCAUCAUAGUUCAAAGGCAUCAGUUCUUUGGUGCUCAACUUUUUUUUUAUUGUCCAGCUCACAUCCGUACAUGACUACCAGAAAAACCAUAGCCUUGACUAUAUGGAUCUUUGUAGGCAAAGUAAGUCUCUGUUUUUUAAUAUGCUAUCUAGGUUUAUCAUUGCUUUUCUUCCAAGGGGCAAGCAUCUUUUAGUUUCAUGGCUGCAGUCACUGUCAACAGUGAUUUUGGAGCCUAAGGUAUAAAUAAUCAUUGUUGUUUUAAGUUACUAGAUUUUGGUUGGUUAGGUUGCAAUAGAUAGUCCAAACAACAAAUACAUGUCCUAACAAGAGUUUUCUGCUUUGCGGAGAUAAAAUAUUUUAUCUCCUGUUUUAACCUGUUUUCUACCUCUGGACUUCCCUGGUGACUCAGCGCUAAAGAGUCUGCCUGCCAAAACAGGAGAGGCGGGUUUGAUCCCUGGGUCAGGAAGAUCCCCUGGAGGAGGAAAUGGCAACCCACUCCAGUAUUCUUGCCUGGGAAAUCCCAUGGAUAGAAGAGCCUGGCAGUCUACAGUCCAGGGGGUUGCAAAAUAGUCAGACAUGACUUAGCAACUACACAACAACAACCAACUAGUUUUCUAUCUCUACAUGCACUUCCAAUUCUCUUUGAAAAUUAGUGCUCCUUAUGAAACUUGAUAGUUCUCAACAUGACAUCUAAGUAGAGACUUGAAGAAUGAAUUCAGAUGAAGAGAGGUGGGAAAAGCAUUGCAGGCUUCCUCACCAGGACAGAGGCAUCAUAGCACAAGGAGUUAAGGGAGCACCAGAACCUAGAGGCAGCAGGUCCAUUCUGAAAUGUGAGGAAGGCAAACAGAAGUAGGGAAUGAGAAGGGAUGGGUCAGUUGGGGCCACAUCCUGAGAACCCGCUGGGGAGCAGAAGAAUUGAACUGGUGACUCACCUCUAAUUAUAUAAUAAACUCAAGUGGGACUGGUUCCUAAAGCUGGGU
This 1683-nucleotide long non-coding RNA is filed under the name Bos indicus x Bos taurus (hybrid cattle). RNAcentral describes it as "lncRNA (ENSBIXG00005001247.1)". Lineage: Eukaryota; Metazoa; Chordata; Mammalia; Artiodactyla; Bovidae. The record is from RNAcentral.